This 32-nucleotide non-coding RNA is filed under the name Aeribacillus alveayuensis. Its description in RNAcentral is "L31-Firmicutes ribosomal protein leader". It matches the Rfam family "L31-Firmicutes ribosomal protein leader". Lineage: Bacteria; Bacillati; Bacillota; Bacilli; Caryophanales; Bacillaceae. The record is from RNAcentral.
CUCUGUUUCGAAAAGAAUCAGGGCGGAAGGAG